CAGAGGGUGCGAGCGUUAAUCGGAAUUACUGGGCGUAAAGCGCGCGUAGGCGGCUUUGCAAGUCGGGUGUGAAAUCCCCAGGCUUAACCUGGGAACUGCAUUCGAGACUGCAUUGCUAGAGUAUGGGAGAGGGAAGUGGAAUUUCAGGUGUAGCGGUGAAAUGCGUAGAUAUCUGAAGGAACAUCAGUGGCGAAAGCGACUUCCUGGACCAAUACUGACGCUCAUGUGCGAAAGCGUGGGGAGCAAACAGGAUUAGAUACCCUGGUAGUCCACGCCAUAAACGAUGAGAACUGGAUGUCGGGAGGGUCUGCCUCUCGGUGUCGUAGCUAACGCGUUAAGUUCUCCGCCUGGGGAGUACGGCCGCAAGGUUG
RNAcentral lists this ribosomal RNA (371 nucleotides) under uncultured organism. RNAcentral describes it as "bacterial SSU rRNA". It matches the Rfam family "Bacterial small subunit ribosomal RNA", at positions 526 to 896 of the family's 1533-position model. The record is from RNAcentral.